This 445-nucleotide ribosomal RNA is filed under the name uncultured bacterium. RNAcentral's name for it is "partial 16S ribosomal RNA". It matches the Rfam family "Bacterial small subunit ribosomal RNA", at positions 354 to 796 of the family's 1533-position model. The record is from RNAcentral.
GUAGGGAAUAUUGGACAAUGGGCGAAAGCCUGAUCCAGCCAUGCCGCGUGAUAGAUGAAGGCCCUCUGGGUUGUAAAUAUCUUUUAUCUGGGAAGAAACUCCUCUAUUCUCAGAGGCCUGACGGUACCAGAGGAAUAAGCACCGGCUAACUCCGUGCCAGCAGCCGCGGUAAUACGGAGGGUGCAAGCGUUAUCCGGAUUCACUGGGUUUAAAGGGUGCGUAGGCGGGUUGAUAAGUCAGUGGUGAAAGCUCAGGGCUUAACUUGGAAACUGCCAUUGAUACUGUCAGUCUUGAAUGUCGUAGAGGUAAGCGGAAUGUUGCAUGUAGCGGUGAAAUGCUUAGAUAUGUUACAGAACACCAAUUGCGAAGGCAGCUUACUAUGCGAUAAUUGACGCUGAGGCACGAAAGCGUGGGGAGCAAACAGGAUUAGAUACCCGGGUAGUCC